Long non-coding RNA from Sipha flava (yellow sugarcane aphid), 1736 nucleotides. RefSeq lists it as uncharacterized. The transcript is spliced from 3 exons. The record is from RefSeq and is a predicted model, not a curated record. NCBI's taxonomy places the organism in Eukaryota, Metazoa, Arthropoda, Insecta, Hemiptera, Aphididae.
AAAUUACAAGUUACUUGAACAUAAAUAUUAAAUAUAGACAAAUUAGCCAUUUGUCCAUGUUUUGGUUAAAAGUUUAUUUUACACAUCGAAUUUUGUAUUGAUAGAGUAAAAAGUAAAGCACUAUAUCGGAUUUUAAUAAGCGACAUUCAGGUACAAAAUAUAAAAAAAGAAAAUAUAAAAAAGAAGCUGAACUUGAAAAACAGUCAGAUUCAAUUAAAAAAAUGUUGACAGGUUUUUCCUCUUCUUUAGGUAAUUCAAAUGUUGUAGUCGUAGUACAAACCAGUGAAUAUGGCCGAAAACGUAUAAUUAAAAGUAAGUGACUACUCGGACGACGGUCUCGAAUCGCCGCAUGAGCACCUGCGUGCAACCAACUAACCAUUAAUGCGUUUUUCAUUACGAAAAAACCAUGCGCUGUGCACGUGGUCGGACGCGUCGCCGGGACCGUACCGAACAGAAUGUACAUGAUCAUGGACUUACUACCCGGACGGCACGCUAUGGAACUAUUCCGCGGAAGUGAAUCACACGGCCGGUGGCGUACGAGUGGUUCUCGCAGUUGUGCUCGGCAUCGGUUAGGUUAGGCACCGGGACGUCAAGAUGGAGAAGGUGUUGCUGAACCGGCGGAAGAAUAUCCGGUUGGCCGUCUUCGAGUGUGCAUGGUCGUCAAAACGCCGCGGUUAGGUUAGGCGCGCCGUCGACGGCGUCGCAACCGUCAGGCCGUCAACCUGUCCGCGUGCGGCACCCUGAUGUACAUGUCGCCGGAACGUUUGUCCAGCGUCCCGUACAACGCGCAGCUGGCCUACGUGUGGGCCGCCUCGGGUACUGCUUUUCCGUCUGGUCGUCGGCCGGUUUCCGUUCAUGUACCAGAAAUCUUCUGCGAAUGACGUAGAUUCACUGAUAUUGGAAAGUCAGAAAAAUGGAUACGCCUUUAAUACAGAUGAAAGACAACGUAUAUUAGUCGAGUUUUUCAGAAUUUUAGAUUUUCAGAAAAAAUGUUGGUAAAUGAAUCGGAUAGAGAAGAAAUUAAAAAUCUUUAAAAAAGAUAAUUGGAUGGUUAAAGGAGCACAAAACUCCAAAAAUUAUUUUUUUUUAAUUUAGUAGUGUAUUCAAUUUUAUGAAACAUGGAUUGAUAAAACGUUUAUACUAAAAUAAUUGAAUGAUUUAUGCAGAAUAAUUAAAAUAUGACGCACGACGUUACCGGGCUCUACUUGUAACAAUAGCCAAUUUUACGUCGCUAAUUCAAACGACUUCAGUUAAUCCUAAGUUUAUACGAGGUAUAUCAGAAAAUAAUUUCUUAGUGGCCAACAAUUCAACGAUGACGACAAGAUAAAAGAAGAUGUAAUCAUUCGUAGUUGUAAUCAAAGGUAGCAUCUUUCUAUGAUGAAGGAAUACAAAAACUAGUGCUCCGUCAUAAGUGCAUAAAUAAAAUCAUUUUUAUACAUAUGUUUUACUUACUCGUACUUUUAUUAUCCGACAGAACUUACUUUCUGGUCAUACACUGUACAAAUAAUUUAAUAUUCAAAUUAUGUUGUAAGGGUCCGAUAAAGUCACAAAGCUACUCAUGGAGUAUUAAAAUCUUCAAAGUAUUAAUAUUUUUUGUAUUAUUGUUUUACCAACCUAUUUCUUAUAAUCAUGACAACAUUAUUGUCCCAAUUAUCAAAAACAAAACAUAAUUAUAUCAGUUGUGUGCUCCUUUAAGAUGUCAGUAAAUAUUUUAGUUCCGUUUUCUUUAUAGUUUA